RNAcentral lists this ribosomal RNA (657 nucleotides) under uncultured marine bacterium. Its description in RNAcentral is "bacterial SSU rRNA". It matches the Rfam family "Bacterial small subunit ribosomal RNA", at positions 56 to 760 of the family's 1533-position model. The record is from RNAcentral.
UGCAAGUCGAACGAAGUAGCAAUACUUAGUGGCAGACGGGUGAGUAACAUGUAGGUAUCUUCCCAUUGGUGAGGAAUAACACGAGGAAACUUGUGCUAAUACCUCAUAGUCUUUACGGAGAAAGCUUUAUGCGCCGAUGGAUGAGCCUGCACUUGAUUAGUUUGUUGGUAGGGUAAGGGCCUACCAAGACAAUGAUCAAUAGCUGAUUUGAGAGGAUGAUCAGCCACAUUGGGACUGAGACACGGCCCAAACUCCUACGGGAGGCAGCAGUAGGGAAUCUUGCACAAUGGGGGAAACCCUGAUGCAGCGAUGCCGCGUGAGUGAAGAAGGCCUUUGGGUUGUAAAGCUCUUUCGUCGGGGAAGAAAAUGACUGUACCCGAAUAAGAAGGUCCGGCUAACUUCGUGCCAGCAGCCGCGGUAAUACGAAGGGACCUAGCGUAGUUCGGAAUUACUGGGCUUAAAGAGUUCGUAGGUGGUUAAAAAAGUUGGUGGUGAAAUCCCAGAGCUUAACUCUGGAACUGCCAUCAAAACUUUUUAGCUAGAGUAUGAUAGAGGAAAGCAGAAUUUCUAGUGUAGAGGUGAAAUUCGUAGAUAUUAGAAAGAAUACCGAUUGCGAAGGCAGCUUUCUGGAUCAUUACUGACACUGAGGAACGAAGC